RNAcentral lists this ribosomal RNA (301 nucleotides) under uncultured bacterium. Its description in RNAcentral is "partial 16S ribosomal RNA". It matches the Rfam family "Bacterial small subunit ribosomal RNA", at positions 509 to 807 of the family's 1533-position model. The record is from RNAcentral.
CAGCAGCCACGGUAAUACAGAGGGUGCAAGCGUUAAUCGGAAUUACUGGGCGUAAAGCGUGCGCAGGCGGUUAUAUAAGACAGAUGUGAAAUCCCCGGGCUCAACCUGGGAACUGCAUUUGUGACUGUAUAGCUAGAGUACGGCAGAGGGGGAUGGAAUUCCGCGUGUAGCAGUGAAAUGCGUAGAUAUGCGGAGGAACACCGAUGGCGAAGGCAAUCCCCUGGGCCUGUACUGACGCUCAUGCACGAAAGCGUGGGGAGCAAACAGGAUUAGAUACCCCCGUAGUCCCUGUCUCUUAUAC